This 72-nucleotide transfer RNA is filed under the name Camelus bactrianus (Bactrian camel). It matches the Rfam family "tRNA". From Rfam's summary of the family: Transfer RNA (tRNA) molecules are approximately 80 nucleotides in length. RNAcentral also lists the same sequence under 2 other names. Lineage: Eukaryota; Metazoa; Chordata; Mammalia; Artiodactyla; Camelidae. The record is from Rfam by way of RNAcentral.
GUGGAUAUAGCUCAGUGGUAGUGUGCAUGCUUAGCACGCACAAGGUCCUGGGUUCAAUCCCCAGUGCCCCCA